RNAcentral lists this transfer RNA (69 nucleotides) under Episoriculus caudatus (Hodgson's brown-toothed shrew). RNAcentral's name for it is "tRNA-His". It matches the Rfam family "tRNA". Rfam says of the family: Transfer RNA (tRNA) molecules are approximately 80 nucleotides in length. Their secondary structure includes four short double-helical elements and three loops (D, anti-codon, and T loops). The record is from RNAcentral. Lineage: Eukaryota; Metazoa; Chordata; Mammalia; Eulipotyphla; Soricidae.
GUAAAUAUAGUUUAACCAAAACAUUAGAUUGUGAAUCUAAUAAUAGAAGAUGACAGCUUCUUAUUUACC